UACAGAGGCCCCGAGCAUUAUCCGGAAUCACUGGGCGUAAAGGGUGUGUAGGCGGUUAUGUUAGUCUUUUGUGAAAGAUCCCGGGCUUAACCCGGGAGACGCAGGGGAAACGGCAUAACUUGGAGGGUAUGAGAGGUAAAGGGAACUCAUGGUGUAGGGGUGAAAUCCGUUGAUAUCAUGGGGAACACCAAAUGCGAAGGCACUUUACUGGCAUAUUCCUGACGCUGAAACACGAAAGCGUGGGAAUCGAAUGGG
RNAcentral lists this ribosomal RNA (255 nucleotides) under uncultured bacterium. Its description in RNAcentral is "partial 16S ribosomal RNA". It matches the Rfam family "Bacterial small subunit ribosomal RNA", at positions 524 to 776 of the family's 1533-position model. The record is from RNAcentral.